This 1148-nucleotide ribosomal RNA is filed under the name Nemania serpens. RNAcentral's name for it is "eukaryotic LSU rRNA". The stretch from base 555 to 1148 matches the Rfam family "Eukaryotic large subunit ribosomal RNA", at positions 1 to 607 of the family's 3401-position model. Lineage: Eukaryota; Fungi; Ascomycota; Sordariomycetes; Xylariales; Xylariaceae. The record is from RNAcentral.
GGAAGUAAAAGUCGUAACAAGGUCUCCGUUGGUGAACCAGCGGAGGGAUCAUUACAGAGUUAUCAAAACUCCCAAACCCAUGUGAACAUACCUCGCGUUGCCUCGGCAGGUGGCGUCUCGCCCCGUAAGAACCUACCCUGUAGGACCUUACCCGGUAGACGACCCUGCCGACGGCCCCCGAAACUCUGUUUUAUAGCAUUAAACUUCUGAAAAUAUAACUAAAUAAGUUAAAACUUUCAACAACGGAUCUCUUGGUUCUGGCAUCGAUGAAGAACGCAGCGAAAUGCGAUAAGUAAUGUGAAUUGCAGAAUUCAGUGAAUCAUCGAAUCUUUGAACGCACAUUGCGCCCACUAGUAUUCUGGUGGGCAUGCCUGUUCGAGCGUCAUUUCAACCCUUAAGCCCCUGUUGCUUAGCGUUAGGAGCCUACCGGAACUCUCUGGUAGCUCCCCAAAGUCAGUGGCGGAGCCGGUUCGCACUCCAGACGUAGUAGCUUUUACACGUCGCCUGUAGCGCGGGCCGGUCCCCUGCCGUAAAACACCCCAAUUUUUAUAGGUUGACCUCGGAUCAGGUAGGAAUACCCGCUGAACUUAAGCAUAUCAAUAAGCGGAGGAAAAGAAAMMAACAGGGAUUGCCCUAGUAACGGCGAGUGAAGCGGCAACAGCUCAAAUUUGAAAUCUGGCCUUCGGGUCCGAGUUGUAAUUUGCAGAGGAUGCUUUUGGCGCGGUGCCUUCCGAGUUCCCUGGAACGGGACGCCUUAGAGGGUGAGAGCCCCGUACGGUUGGACACCAAGCCUCUGUAAAGCUCCUUCGACGAGUCGAGUAGUUUGGGAAUGCUGCUCUAAAUGGGAGGUAAAUUUCUUCUAAAGCUAAAUAUUGGCCAGAGACCGAUAGCGCACAAGUAGAGUGAUCGAAAGAUGAAAAGCACUUUGAAAAGAGGGUUAAACAGCACGUGAAAUUGUUGAAAGGGAAGCGUUUGCGACCAGACCUUCUCCUGGCGGAUCAUCCGGUGGUUUCCACCGGUGCACUUCGCCAGGUCGAGGCCAGCAUCGGUCUUUGUAGGGGGAUAAAAGCUCAGGGAACGUAGCUCCUCCGGAGUGUUAUAGCCCUCCGCAUAAUACCCUUACGGGGACCGAGGACCGCGCCUCGGCA